UACGUAGGGUGCAAGCGUUGUCCGGAAUUAUUGGGCGUAAAGAGCUCGUAGGCGGUCUGUCGCGUCUGCUGUGAAAACUCAGGGCUUAACCCUGAGCUUGCAGUGGGUACGGGCAGACUAGAGUGCGGUAGGGGAGACUGGAAUUCCUGGUGUGGCGGUGAAAUGCGCAGAUAUCAGGAGGAACACCGGUGGCGAAGGCGGGUCUCUGGGCCGUAACUGACGCUGAGGAGCGAAAGCAUGGGGAGCGAACAGG
RNAcentral lists this ribosomal RNA (253 nucleotides) under uncultured bacterium. RNAcentral describes it as "partial 16S ribosomal RNA". It matches the Rfam family "Bacterial small subunit ribosomal RNA", at positions 524 to 776 of the family's 1533-position model. The record is from RNAcentral.